Molecule: long non-coding RNA, 571 nt
Filed under: Oryza sativa Indica Group (long-grained rice)
Lineage: Eukaryota; Viridiplantae; Streptophyta; Magnoliopsida; Poales; Poaceae
Description: lncRNA OsZS97_06G002090
Source: RNAcentral
AUGGAAAGGAACACGCAAGGUGAUCAUCUCCGAAAGAUCAAAAUAGUGGCUCAGAAUUUUGACAAUGACAGCAAGUCAUAUGGUAGAAGGAUGGAAAGGAACACCCAAGUGGCCAAAUUUGUGGAGCAUGUUCAGUACAGAUUUUUGUCAAGUAGAGGUAGAGUUCAGAUAUACAUGCAGAGAACAGCACUGUUCACCAACCCUUUCUCCAAAUCCUUCAAACAACUUGAUCUUUCAAGUCACAGGAUGAGUCACCUGCAGAAAGCGGAUUAUUCAGACAGUAUCAGCUCUGCGGCUAAUGCUUAUCCACAAAACCAAAGUGCAAGUGAUCUUCCACACAAUCUUGGAGGCAAGGAAUCGAAUAAUCCCAGUAACCCAAGCUCGUUAACUAAACUGACACGAUUUUCCAACGAUGUAACAGCCGAUGGACACCCGUAUGCCGUCGAGAAGAUUAGAGAAGAUUCUUCAGGCACAGUAACACAAAGACAGCAGCUACCAUUGCAUCUCACCAGAUGUGAAUUCUACCAGUCAUUUCUGAAAGCACAGAUCAGCAUGUUGUGAAUAGAUACUA